RNAcentral lists this ribosomal RNA (497 nucleotides) under uncultured bacterium. RNAcentral's name for it is "partial 16S ribosomal RNA". It matches the Rfam family "Bacterial small subunit ribosomal RNA", at positions 28 to 507 of the family's 1533-position model. The record is from RNAcentral.
GAUGAACGCUGGCGGCGUGCCUAAUACAUGCCAGUCGAGCGAACGGACGAGAAGCUUGCUUCUCUGAUGUUAGCGGCGGACGGGUGAGUAACACGUGGAUAACCUACCUAUAAGACUGGGAUAACUUCGGGAAACCGGAGCUAAUACCGGAUGAUAUUUUGAACCGCAUGGUUCAAAAGUGAAAGACGGUCUUGCUGUCACUUAUAGAUGGAUCCGCGCUGCAUUAGCUAGUUGGUAAGGUAACGGCUUACCAAGGCAACGAUGCAUAGCCGACCUGAGAGGGUGAUCGGCCACACUGGAACUGAGACACGGUCCAGACUCCUACGGGAGGCAGCAGUAGGGAAUCUUCCGCAAUGGGCGAAGGCCUGACGGAGCAACGCCGCGUGAGUGAUGAAGGUCUUCGGAUCGUAAAACUCUGUUAUUAGGGAAGAACAUAUGUGUAAGUAACUGUGCACAUCUUGACGGUACCUAAUCAGAAAGCCACGGCUAGCUACGUG